GACGAACGCUGGCGGCGUGCUUAACACAUGCCAGUCGAACGGAAAGGCCCUGCUUUUGUGGGGUGCUCGAGUGGCGAACGGGUGAGUAACACGUGAGUAACCUGCCCUUGACUUUGGGAUAACUUCAGGAAACUGGGGCUAAUACCGGAUAGGAGCGCCUGCUGCAUGAUGGGGGUUGGAAAGUUUCGGCGGUUGGGGAUGGACUCGCGGCUUAUCAGCUUGUUGGUGGGGUAGUGGCUUACCAAGGCUUUGACGGGUAGCCGGCCUGGGAGGGUGACCGGCGACAUUGGGACUGAGGUACGGCCCAGACUCCUACGGGAGGCAGCAGUGGGGAAUAUUGCACAAUGGGCGGAAGCCUGAUGCAGCAACGCUGCGUGCGGGAUGACGGCCUUCGGGUUGUAAACCGCUUUCGCCUGUGACGAAGCGUGAGUGACGGUAAUGGGUAAAGAAGCACCGGCUAACUACGUG
Molecule: ribosomal RNA, 468 nt
Filed under: uncultured bacterium
Lineage: Bacteria
Description: partial 16S ribosomal RNA
Rfam family: Bacterial small subunit ribosomal RNA
Source: RNAcentral